CAGUCGCCGCGGUAAUACGGAGGAUCCAAGCGUUAUCCGGAAUCAUUGGGUUUAAAGGGUCCGUAGGCGGUCUUGUAAGUCAGUGGUGAAAGCCCAUCGCUCAACGGCGGAACGGCCAUUGAUACUGCAGGACUUGAAUUAUUGGGAAGUAACUAGAAUAUGUAGUGUAGCGGUGAAAUGCUUAGAGAUUACAUGGAAUACCAAUUGCGAAGGCAGGUUACUACCAAUUGAUUGACGCUGAUGGACGAAAGCGUGGGUAGCGAACAGGAUUAGAUACCCCUGUAGUCCCUGUCUCUUAUAC
This 301-nucleotide ribosomal RNA is filed under the name uncultured bacterium. Its description in RNAcentral is "partial 16S ribosomal RNA". It matches the Rfam family "Bacterial small subunit ribosomal RNA", at positions 509 to 807 of the family's 1533-position model. The record is from RNAcentral.